Molecule: long non-coding RNA, 930 nt
Organism: Raphanus sativus (radish)
Lineage: Eukaryota; Viridiplantae; Streptophyta; Magnoliopsida; Brassicales; Brassicaceae
Exons: 5
Source: RefSeq, a predicted model, not a curated record
UGAACCAGACAAGAUCCCGACUUACCGUCGCUUGUCUUCACCGGCGUUCGCUCUCACCGCUUCCGCCAUUGAUAUCUCAGCUUGUCCUUUGAUGAAUCCAGCAAAAAACCUUUAACUUCGUGAUUCUCCGGUAGCAAAACUCAAUUUGUCUACCUCACGACAUGUACACCGAACCAAAAUUGUCACCACCACAAAAGCUCACGGUGUAGACGUCUCUUCACCUCCGUUGCUUCCGAUAGACGUUUCUUUGCUACAACCAUAUUUCUUCAAGGUAAACUUUUGAACUCAUCCUUUAUCAAGCUUUAUAUAUCCCUGUCGAACCAUCAGUUUACUUUUCCUGAAACUGAUACUUUCUUUUGUGGCCUUUCCGCGAGGUGAACAACUCGACAGCACUGUCACCUGCAGCCACACGAGACCUACUAUGGCAGGACUUUAAGAAGCUCCAGACAUGUCUCGAACUUCUUUCCAGGUUGCUGUAACACGCCGGAACCGUCAAGCUUCAAUACCAACGAGCUGAGUCUUCUUCACCACACCAGAUAAGAAUUCUCCUUGCUUGUUUAUUGAACCUUGCCUUCGAAUCUCUGUAACUAGGAUCUCGGUUAGCCUAAGCUCUGAUACCACUUGUAGAGAAACGACCUUGGCUUUUCUUGUAACAAACGGAACGAUGCACUGAUAUGUUUGGCGAGUCCAACCUCCAAACCGGAGAUAAACUCUUUAUCACUAUGAAUCGAAAGAUUACAAGCCUCGCACUAGUUGCGUGUUCUAUGAGAGAUAUAUAUUUGUUGUAUCUUACAAUGAGAGUCUCGACCUAUAUUUAUACUAGAUUGCUAAUGUGAUUCCUUGUUGUAAAAGGAAUAACAUGUUUAUCCUAAGUUUAUAAGACUUUAUAAACUUCUUGGAUAAUAAUGAAACUAACCCAAUCUUCUUAUC